UGCGGCAAAAUCAUCAUUAUCAACAGCAACAUUGUUUUCAACACGUUUAUAAGCAGAAGCAAGAGUAGCAGACUUCCUCCAAAACCCUAAUAAACUCCCCCAAUCCAUUAGCCCUAACACUGUCUCUGUGUCUGUCAAUGGAGGAAGCAAAAGAUACAGCAGCAUCGAGGAACCCAAACCCCAAAGAGUCAGUUGUAUGCGAAGAGUGCAAAGUGGAGGCGUCAAAAUACAAAUGUCCAGGUUGCUCUAUACGCUCCUGUAGUCUUCCUUGCGUCAAAGCUCACAAAGAGCGCACUGCUUGUACUGGAAAGCGCCAACAGACUCACUUCGUUCCUCUCUCUCACUUCGAUGAUAAUCUCCUCCUAUCCGAUUAUAAUAUGCUUGAGGAUGUUAAGAGGGUGUCUGAGUCUGCUCAGAGAAUGAGAGUCAAGUUGUUCAAAUAUUCUCAUUUUAGGCUUCCUUUCCAUCUGAAAAGCCUUCGGAGUGCCGCAGCAAGUCGUGGGACAAAACUUCUAUUUCUUUCAAGUGGAAUGUCAAAGAGAGAGACAAAUCAGUCUUCUUACAACAACAGGAAGAAAUUCAUCUCUUGGACAAUUGAGUGGCGGUUUCAUUCAACAGAUGUUGUGUUGAUUGACCAUGGAGUAGAUGAAAAUACGCCUCUCUGUUCAGUGAUUGAGAACCAUUUGAGGCCUGGUCCAUGGAAACAUCGGCUGAGGCAAUUCUGUGAGGAGACACUGGGCUCUCUCAAAUUAUUCAUCCGUAAAUAUCCCAAGGGCCCCAAGGCACCUUUCCGGGAGCUGGACAUGAAGGCUCCACUGCGCCAACAAUUAGCCAAUUUAGUUAUUUUGGAGUAUCCCGUUGUUCAUGUUUAUCUCCCUUCGCAUAGUUAUGAUUUUGUAGUCAAGGAUGUUAUUCCUCAUAAAACAGAGAUUAAGAGCAAUAAUCACCCAAUUCCAAAGGGUGUGACCUUUAGGGAGGAGGAAAUAGAAGAUGGCAGUUCAGAUCCUCAGAUUUUGGAUGUCAUGAAACAUGUUAAACCUGAUCCCGUGUUCCAGAUUACCAGUAAAUAUGAGGGAACUGAGAAGGAAUUAAAUGACAAAUUAGACGGGUCAUUUUUGGAAAAAGUGGCCCAAGAUAAUAUACACUCGAGCUUGAAGACUAAGGACCCUGGAGUGCUUGAGGGCAUGGGUUUUGAUUUUGAGCAAGAUUUGAUUGACACAUACUCGGAUCUCAUUGCGCAAAAUAAUCCUGAUGACUUUCUUGAUUUGGAAGGUGUGUUUCCUGAGGGAUUCAUUGGAUUCAUCCCAGCUGAGGAGGAGUUAGAGGAAGGGGAGAUACCUGGAUUUUGAAUUAUGAUUGCUAUAUUGGUUUCAUCUACAAUGAUGUGGAAUCACACUUCUAAAUGGUUCUUAAAGUGGUGGCAUGCUUGUGGAGGUGACAAUCGUUUGCUGUAUAUUUGAUCCUACGGAGGCUUGGAAGUAUACCUUGGCAUUUCCAGUGGAUUCGCAUGUGAACAGACGAUGUUCAUUGUUGAGGCUGCGAUCUCUAGUUUGUGGGUCUCCCAAAUCCACUAUUGGUUGCCCUAUCGGUGGUUAAUUGUUUUGCGAUGAGAUGUUAGAUGUCUCAUGAUAACGUGUGCUGGUAUUGUUAUUUUGUGGUCCGUUUGUUGCAAUGCCAGAGAAUUUGAGUUUUGUUUGUUUCUUUAAAAUAUUGAGCUGUCACAUGAGAUAGUUUCAGUUGUUACAUACACUUGGAAACUCACUCUCUACCAGCUAAUGUUCCAGAUUUUGCCAGCAUGUGAAUCUAAAUGCUGUAAUGAUAUUGUCAGAUGAUUCCAUGUAUGAGAAAGUAGAUGAAAAUUUUGUAAAACUUUUGUGAAAUGCGCUAGACAUGUAUUCCAAACACCUCAUCAGUGAAGUAAAUCAGCUAUCAAAUGUCCUCUCA
RNA transcript from Camellia sinensis, 1944 nucleotides. It is a transcript of the gene named HIT-type Zinc finger family protein, with no coding region annotated. NCBI's taxonomy places the organism in Eukaryota, Viridiplantae, Streptophyta, Magnoliopsida, Ericales, Theaceae. The record is from RefSeq and is a predicted model, not a curated record.